RNAcentral lists this ribosomal RNA (253 nucleotides) under uncultured bacterium. Its description in RNAcentral is "partial 16S ribosomal RNA". It matches the Rfam family "Bacterial small subunit ribosomal RNA", at positions 524 to 776 of the family's 1533-position model. The record is from RNAcentral.
UACAGAGGGUGCAAGCGUUAAUCGGAAUUAUUGGGCGUAAAGCGCGCGUAGGCGGUUACUCAAGUCGGAUGUGAAAGCCCUCGGCUUAACUGAGGAAGUGCACCCGAAACUGAGUAGCUAGAGUACUAAAGAGGGUCGCGGAAUUCCCGGUGUAGAGGUGAAAUUCGUAGAUAUCGGGAGGGACACCGGUGGCGAAGGCGGCCGACUGGUCCGGUUCUGACGCUGAGGCGCGAAAGCGUGGGGAGCAAACAGG